GAGGUGGGGAGAAUGGCUGAGCCUGGGAGGUCGAGGCUGCAGUGAGCUGUGAUCAUACCACUGCACUCCAGCCUGGGUGACAGAGUAAGACCCUGUCUC
Molecule: microRNA precursor, 99 nt
Organism: Gorilla gorilla gorilla (western lowland gorilla)
Lineage: Eukaryota; Metazoa; Chordata; Mammalia; Primates; Hominidae
Source: Ensembl